UUCAGGGGAGGUUCAACUAAGACCGUCACAUCGUGUGACAACGUUGAACUACCCUACAUCGUGUAGG
Molecule: small RNA, 67 nt
Organism: Pontibacillus yanchengensis Y32
Lineage: Bacteria; Bacillati; Bacillota; Bacilli; Caryophanales; Bacillaceae
Rfam family: Bacillaceae-1 RNA
Source: Rfam